RNAcentral lists this transfer RNA (72 nucleotides) under Telmatocola sphagniphila. It matches the Rfam family "tRNA". From Rfam's summary of the family: Transfer RNA (tRNA) molecules are approximately 80 nucleotides in length. The record is from Rfam by way of RNAcentral. Lineage: Bacteria; Pseudomonadati; Planctomycetota; Planctomycetia; Gemmatales; Gemmataceae.
GCGGGUGUAACUCAGUGGUAGAGUGCCACGUUGCCAACGUGGUUGUCGUGGGUUCAAGUCCCAUCACCCGCU